GAUGAACGCUGGCGGCGUGCUUAACACAUGCAAGUCGAACGGGAAACCUUUUAUUGAAGCUUCGGCAGAUUUAGAUUGUUUCUAGUGGCGGACGGGUGAGUAACGCGUGGGUAACCUGCCUUAUACAGGGGGAUAACAGUCAGAAAUGACUGCUAAUACCGCAUAAGCGCACAGAGCUGCAUGGCUCGGUGUGAAAAACUCCGGUGGUAUAAGAUGGACCCGCGUUGGAUUAGCUAGUUGGUGAGGUAACGGCCCACCAAGGCGACGAUCCAUAGCCGGCCUGAGAGGGUGAACGGCCACAUUGGGACUGAGACACGGCCCAGACUCCUACGGGAGGCAGCAGUGGGGAAUAUUGCACAAUGGGGGAAACCCUGAUGCAGCGACGCCGCGUGAAGGAAGAAGUAUCUCGGUAUGUAAACUUCUAUCAGCAGGGA
RNAcentral lists this ribosomal RNA (434 nucleotides) under uncultured bacterium. RNAcentral describes it as "bacterial SSU rRNA". It matches the Rfam family "Bacterial small subunit ribosomal RNA", at positions 28 to 445 of the family's 1533-position model. The record is from RNAcentral.